AUGCUCACAUGGAGAACAAAUAUACCAAAAUUGUAAAGGUACAGAGAAGAUUAGCAUAGCCCCUGCACAACAAUGACAUGCAAAUUUGUGAAGCAUCCACACACACA
RNAcentral lists this small nuclear RNA (107 nucleotides) under Salvator merianae (Argentine black and white tegu). Lineage: Eukaryota; Metazoa; Chordata; Lepidosauria; Squamata; Teiidae. The record is from RNAcentral.